RNAcentral lists this ribosomal RNA (900 nucleotides) under uncultured bacterium. RNAcentral's name for it is "bacterial SSU rRNA". It matches the Rfam family "Bacterial small subunit ribosomal RNA", at positions 338 to 1252 of the family's 1533-position model. The record is from RNAcentral.
CCUACGGGGGGCAGCAGUGGGGAAUAUUGGGCAAUGGACGCAAGUCUGACCCAGCGAUGCCGCGUGAAGGAUGGAAGGCCCUCGGGUUGUAAACUUCUUUAGACAGGGAAGAAAGAAAUGACAUUACCUGUAGAAUAAGCCACGGCUAACUACGUGCCAGCAGCCGCGGUAAUACGUAGGUGGCGAGCGUUAUCCGGAAUUACUGGGUGUAAAGGGCGCGUAGGCGGGUAUGCAAGUUGGAUGUGAAAUUCCGGGGCUUAACUCCGGAUUGUCAUCUAAAACUGUGUAUCUUGAGUGUCAGAGGGGAAAGUGGAAUUCCUAGUGGAGUGGUAAAAUGCGUAGAUAUUAGGAGGAACAUCGGUGGCGAAGGCGACUUUCUGGCUGACAACUGACGCUGAGGCGCGAAAGCGUGGGUAGCGAACAGGAUUAGAUACCCUGGUAGUCCACGCCGUAAACGCUGAUUACUAGGUGUAGGGGGUAUAGACUCCCUCUGUGCCGCAGUUAACGCAUUAAGUAAUCCACCUGGGGAGUACGGCCGCAAGGUUAAAACUCAAAGGAAUUGACGGGGGCCCGCACAAGCAGUGGAGUAUGUGGUUUAAUUCGAAGCAACGCGAAGAACCUUACCAGGGCUUGACAUCCUCGGACGACACUAGAGAUAGUGUUUUCUCUUCGGAGACUGAGAGACAGGUGGUGCAUGGUUGUCGUCAGCUCGUGUCGUGAGAUGUUCGGUUAAGUCCGGCAACGAGCGCAACCCUUAUUGUUAGUUGCCAUCAUUUAGUUGGGCACUCUAGCGAGACUGCCGUUGACAAAACGGAGGAAGGUGGGGACGACGUCAAAUCAUCAUGCCCCUUAUGUCCUGGGCUACACACGUACUACAAUGGUAACAACAGCGAGCAGCGA